Pseudoliparis swirei is the source of this 709-nucleotide long non-coding RNA. RefSeq lists it as uncharacterized. The record is from RefSeq and is a predicted model, not a curated record. The transcript is spliced from 2 exons. Lineage: Eukaryota; Metazoa; Chordata; Actinopteri; Perciformes; Liparidae.
UUGUCUUUAUUAGUGUCUUCCUACCUGUCGUGAUUCCUGUCUUUGUACCUGUUGUCAACCAGAGUUUUUAUGUUGUACAGUUUGUCAGUAAAAUAGUUGUUGUUCCCUUUACCUGGAGGCCUGGUUGCUCUGCACCUGAGCUCUUAACCCCCAACACCUGUGAAAACAAGAGUGAAAUAAAGGAUUGUUUAAAACUAAACCUCUCCUCUUCUCUCAGGUAGCCCAGUAUCUGAACUUGGAGCUGCCCAUCCUGGAGCAGGUGCUCCUGCAACUGCGUGAGGAGGAGAACCGACUGAUACAGAGAGUCAUUAGCAAGUACCACCAGCAGCAUAGAGUCCUGUCCCACACGCUGACCUGUAAGAUGUUCCCUCACUUUGAGACCAGUGUCUGACGGUCAUCACAGCCAACGACUUGCUGUCCAGCGUCCAACGCCUUUCACUUCAGGAACAUGUUGAAAGAUGUUUGGUUGUGAAACAAAGAUGCCACGUGACCACACCUAAACCUGACAUGCCGACAACAUACAUGGCUCUGUUUCAAGUCGUACAAACUGGGUCACUGUCAUUUGUAUUCAUCAUGUGAUUUUUUUUUUUUCCCCUUCAUUUAUUAUUUUUUAUCUGUAAAAUAAGUACAAGAUAUUCAUGUAAGAUGCUGUUGUAAAUAACUGUAAAUCAGUGUUGAGCGUUAAUAAAUAGAAGUUGUGGGACCAGCA